CGCGGCCUAUCAGCUUGUUGGUGAGGUAACGGCUCACCAAGGCGACGACGGGUAGCCGGCCUGAGAGGGUGACCGGCCACACUGGGACUGAGACACGGCCCAGACUCCUACGGGAGGCAGCAGUGGGGAAUAUUGCACAAUGGGCGCAAGCCUGAUGCAGCGACGCCGCGUGAGGGAUGACGGCCUUCGGGUUGUAAACCUCUGUUAGCAGGGAAGAAGAGAGAUUGACGGUACCUGCAGAGAAAGCGCCGGCUAACUACGUGCCAGCAGCCGCGGUAAUACGUAGGGCGCGAGCGUUGCCCGGAAUUAUUGGGCGUAAAGAGCUUGUAGGCGGUUUGUCGCGUCUGCUGUGAAAGGCCGGAGCUUAACUCCGUGUAUUGCAGUGGGUACGGGCAGACUAGAGUGCAGUAGGGGAGACUGGAAUUCCUGGUGUAGCGGUGGAAUGCGCAGAUAUCAGGAGGAACACCGAUGGCGAAGGCAGGUCUCAGGGCUGUAACUGACGCUGAGAAGCGAAAGCAUGGGGAGCGAACAGGAUUAGAUACCCUGGUAGUCCAUGCCGUAAACGUUGGGCACUAGGUGUGGGGGACAUUCCACGUUUUCCGCGCCGUAGCUAACGCAUUAAGUGCCCCGCCUGGGGAGUACGG
Molecule: ribosomal RNA, 644 nt
Filed under: uncultured Actinomycetes bacterium
Lineage: Bacteria; Bacillati; Actinomycetota; Actinomycetes
Description: bacterial SSU rRNA
Rfam family: Bacterial small subunit ribosomal RNA
Source: RNAcentral